This 269-nucleotide unclassified non-coding RNA is filed under the name uncultured Russula. RNAcentral's name for it is "sequence contains ITS2". The record is from RNAcentral. Lineage: Eukaryota; Fungi; Basidiomycota; Agaricomycetes; Russulales; Russulaceae.
AAUUCUCAAAACCCCCUUUUCUUGUCGAGAAGAGAGGAUUUUGGACUUGGAGGUUUGAUGCUUGCUUUUGGGUCUCAAAAGUGAGCUCCUCUCAAAUGAAUUAGUGGGGUCUGCUUUGUCGGUCCUUGACGUGAUAAGAUGUUUUGACGUUUUGGACUUGGCACUGUCUAUUGGACACCUGCUUCUAACCGUCCGCCUUGUGGACAAAUGAUGGUGCUUCGGUCUCCUCCGUCCACGUUGGCGGGGGGAGGCUGGACCCACAAAGAAAA